RNAcentral lists this ribosomal RNA (351 nucleotides) under Triticum aestivum (bread wheat). RNAcentral's name for it is "partial small subunit ribosomal RNA". Lineage: Eukaryota; Viridiplantae; Streptophyta; Magnoliopsida; Poales; Poaceae. The record is from RNAcentral.
AUGCUCCCGUGUGCUGCCCCGACGACGGGCCGUCACCCGAUUCAACAGGAGCGUCGCUCCUCCGCAUGCAGUCCCCAAACGCCGUUCUUGCAGUCUGUCGCUACCCUCUGUAUCAAGCAAUCCGCUGAGCUGGAGCUGAAGAUCAACGGCCGCCCUGUGCAGUUCAGAAAAUACUUGUUUUUGCUGCUCUUUUUGAAGCUCGUUUUGAUAUUUAUUUGCAGCUCGUUGAAUUUCAUUUUGCAGUUCACUAUCAGAUCCAUGGCGCUGGCCGUGCUUUCUCCUGCUGCUCUGUGUGAGGUGAGGACGGGUUCUGCCGCGCCGGGAACCAGGGUGUGGCGCGACACCGGCUAA